This 484-nucleotide ribosomal RNA is filed under the name uncultured bacterium. Its description in RNAcentral is "partial 16S ribosomal RNA". It matches the Rfam family "Bacterial small subunit ribosomal RNA", at positions 29 to 523 of the family's 1533-position model. The record is from RNAcentral.
AGUGAACGCUGGCGGCGCGCUUAACACAUGCCAGUCAAACGAGAACGGGUUAUAGCUUGCUAUAAUCGUCAGCUAAGUGCAGCCUGGGUGCGUAAUGUAUAGGUAAUAUGCCUCUUACUAAGGGAUAACAAAUGGAAACGUUUGCUAAUACCUUAUACUCCUUAUUAAUAUAAGUUAAUAAGUGAAAGAUUUAUUGGUAAGAGAUUAGCCUGUAUUGUAUCAGUUAGUGGGUGGGGUAAUGGCAUACCAAGACUAAGACACAUAACUGGUUUGAGAGGAUAAUCAGUCACGAUGGAACUGAGACACGGUCCAGACUCCUACGGGAGGCAGCAGUGGGGAAUAUUGCACAAUGGACGAAAGUCUGAUGCAGCAACGCCGCGUGGAGGAUGACACAUUUCGGUGCGUAAACUCCUUUUAUAUGAGAAGAUAAUGACGGUAUUAUAUGAAUAAGCACCGGCUAACUCCGUGCCAGCCGCCGCGGUAA